Long non-coding RNA from Paramisgurnus dabryanus, 1434 nucleotides. RefSeq lists it as uncharacterized. The record is from RefSeq and is a predicted model, not a curated record. Lineage: Eukaryota; Metazoa; Chordata; Actinopteri; Cypriniformes; Cobitidae.
CUCAACUAGAACGCGCUUCGGCUGCUGGAUCGUGGGUCACCAGAGCCGCCAUAUUAGUGAUGGCAAUUUCUUCAUUACUUUCAUUGCAACUGUACAGUUUGGGGCUGUACAACCCGUCACACACCUCAAAACAAGUCUCGGGAAAUUCAACUUUCACAAGUGUGAGCAAAAAUGUGGCGUUUUGGGUGUGUCCUCUUAAAUGCAAAUGAGUUGAUUAAUGGGCGGUAUUAUCCCCUUCUGACAUCACAAGGGGAGCCAAAUUUCAAUGACCUAUUUUUUCAUAUGGUUGCAGAGAAUGGUUUACCAAAACGAACUUACUGCCUUGCAUCAGGAGGUGGUGGUGUCUGCUGCUUUUGGAGAAUUUCCCUUUGAGGUCAGAGUCAGACGCUGAAAGAAAGCAACUCCGAAAAAGAGGAGAGUAAACAUGGAUAUCAGCUGACGUCACUCACUUGUCUUCCGCCAUUUAGAGGACCUGAAGUGGUCCGAUUUCCGAAACUGCUGUGAAAGUGCUGGAUCUCAUUUACAUCAUUGACAGAAAAUACACUUUUGAUUAGUAAAUUAGUUAGGUAAUGAUCUUUACCAUUAUGUACCAACAACCACAGAAUUACACUAUUAACUUUACAUGUUCAUAACAAAUGUGGUGCAUUAACAUAAAGUUAACACAACCAGGGAAAAAACUAGCUAGCAAAAAGUCAAGAGUCCAACUAAAACAAACACUAAUCACAAUAAUGGUGACUUAAAAUUAAACAAAACAUCGACAUCUAAGCCUAAUAAGUGAAUUGUGUUUUCUACAGCAAUAUAUUUACUGAACAUUCAGAAAUAAUGUUUUAUAAAAUAAUAAAAUGCAGUGUUUCUCUAUCAUUUACAUAACAGUCAAACAUGUCAAUAUAAUAAACAGUUGUUGUUUUAAACAUUGUGUGAACAUUAUAACAUGACAUUGUCAUAACGUUUAAAAAUGGUAAAAUGUAACAUUCCUCUAAUGUUCAGACAACACAAAAACGUUCUUAGAACGUCAAGAAAACUGGACACUUUUUUCGUUGGCAGAACGUUUUUGGGAACCUUGGGAACUUUCAGGGAACGUUCUUAGAACUUUUUUCUGUUAGCUGGGAAUGUUCUCAAUGCUCGCGUUCAUGUGUAGAGAUCCAAGAUACUUCGAGCAAAGUUUCAUGUUGUGUCGCGCCUUCUUAUGUUGUAAAAUAGUGGUAGUUCGGUAGCAGCGGACAGCGGCUGGAAGAACGCAUCAGGGAUCAAGUAGGCAUCACACCCCAAACAAGAUGUAUUUUUUUAAAGUAGCGUUUAUUUUCAUGUUGUCUUUCGUAGCCCUUUACUGUAUCCGUAAGAAUCAUAGACAGUAAAAGAUAAGAAAUCCGUAAAUCGUAGCAAGGUAGCCAAUUCUUGUCAAUAACCUACUGGUACUCGGUAGGUCCUCAAGAU